RNAcentral lists this unclassified non-coding RNA (349 nucleotides) under fungal sp. Its description in RNAcentral is "partial internal transcribed spacer region". The stretch from base 1 to 46 matches the Rfam family "Eukaryotic small subunit ribosomal RNA", at positions 1786 to 1831 of the family's 1831-position model. Lineage: Eukaryota; Fungi. The record is from RNAcentral.
AAGUCGUAACAAGGUUUCCGUAGGUGAACCUGCGGAAGGAUCAUUAUCACAUGAUUCCAUGUAUAAACCAUUGUGCACUGUUCAACCCUCACGGAGUUACUGAAGUCGGAAAGGGAAGUCAGCGUUUUAACGGUCAAUUAUUGUAAUUUGAAUGACCCAGCUUUCUUUCGACAGCUUCAUUGCUGCAGACUUUGUUCCUCCACCGAGUGUAAUUCAAAUUACAUUGUUUAUUAUUAACAACUGAAACCCCUUUUAAACUUUUGAACUAACGUUUUCAUACUCCAAUAAAACGGAGAUGAAAUUCUUACGAAACAAAGAACAACUCUUAGCAACGGAUAUCUUGGUUCUC